Molecule: transfer RNA, 86 nt
Filed under: Planococcus salinarum
Lineage: Bacteria; Bacillati; Bacillota; Bacilli; Caryophanales; Caryophanaceae
Description: tRNA-OTHER
Source: RNAcentral
GCCGGGGUGGCGGAACUGGCAGACCACAGGACUUAAAUCCUGCGGUAGGUGACUACCGUACCGGUUCGAUUCCGGUCCUCGCACCA